Molecule: ribosomal RNA, 295 nt
Filed under: uncultured Geobacter sp.
Lineage: Bacteria; Pseudomonadati; Thermodesulfobacteriota; Desulfuromonadia; Geobacterales; Geobacteraceae
Description: partial 16S ribosomal RNA
Rfam family: Bacterial small subunit ribosomal RNA
Source: RNAcentral
AGCGUUGUUCGGAAUUAUUGGGCGUAAAGCGCGUGUAGGCGGUUUGUUAAGUCUGAUGUGAAAGCCCCGGGCUCAACCUGGGAAGUGCAUUGGAUACUGGCAGACUUGAAUACGGGAGAGGGUAGUGGAAUUCCUGGUGUAGGAGUGAAAUCCGUAGAUAUCAGGAGGAACACCGGUGGCGAAGGCGGCUACCUGGACCGAUAUUGACGCUGAGACGCGAAAGCGUGGGGAGCAAACAGGAUUAGAUACCCUGGUAGUCCACGCCGUAAACGAUGAGUACUAGGUGUCGCGGGUA